This 253-nucleotide ribosomal RNA is filed under the name uncultured bacterium. RNAcentral's name for it is "partial 16S ribosomal RNA". It matches the Rfam family "Bacterial small subunit ribosomal RNA", at positions 524 to 776 of the family's 1533-position model. The record is from RNAcentral.
UACGGGGGGGGUAAGCGUUGUUCGGAAUUACUGGGCGUAAAGGGCUCGUAGGCGGCCAACUAAGUCGGACGUGAAAUCCCUCGGCUUAACCGGGGAACUGCGUCUGAUACUGGAUGGCUUGAGUUCGGGAGAGGGAUGCGGAAUUCCAGGUGUAGCGGUGAAAUGCGUAGAUAUCUGGAGGAACACCGGUGGCGAAGGCGGCAUCCUGGACCGACACUGACACUGAGGAGCGAAAGCCAGGGGAGCAAACGGG